CUAAACCCUUUUUUCUUGAUGCUGUUUGCUUGUUUUUUGCAGGAGGAAACCUCACAGGAGCAAUAUUUAAUCCAGCAUUGGCCUUUUCAUUACAUGCAAGAUGUUUCCAUGAAAAAUUCUGGGAGUAUUCACUAGUGUAUUGGAUAGCACCCCUUUUAGGCACAGUAUUUGUGGCCAUUGUAUGGGGUGAAAUCCUUCAUCUGAUAUUUUGAAAGACUUUAAAGUAUGAGCACUGGAAACACAUUAAAAAGAAACUCUCAGAAAGAAAAGUGAAUUGCAGCCAUGCAAUAUGUAGAUAGAAGACAGUGGAUACCAGGCAUUCAGGAUACUAGUCACCUUUGUUUCCUUUAUUUAUAGCCUUCUAAAAUGUAUUUUCAGACAUUUUGUUCUGACAUAUACUCCAUAGGAGGACUCUAAAUUGUGAUGAUGGGAAGAAAGAAUAACAUUGUCGGCCAUUUCACAUCUAAGCUGUAUAUAUAUGAAGAAAAGAAAAGUAACAUUGCGAAUGAAUUUGUCACCUUAAGUUUAACCCUAAGUGCUACUUGCAGAUAUUUCAUACAGAGUUCUGUAAAACUUCUGCAGGUAACCUGUGUAUGUCUGCCAAACUGGUCUGAUUAGGUCUUUCUACAUAAAAAUAGCCACAACAGGGGUGGUAAGUUCUGAAAAUUUAAUUUUCAGGUAGCCUCUGCCUAUUUUCCUUCUGAGAUAUGGCACGUCUGAGGGAGAGGGAAAUGAAUACAACAGACACUGCUCACUAGAAAAAUCCCACAGUUCAGUGUCAGAGGAGCCAUAUAGGAAAGUUGAAAAUAUACAUAUGGACAUGCUUGAGGAAUAAACUACUAGUAAGCAAUGCCUUUGUUCCUCUUGUGACAAAUCUAACUUGUCCCGCCCCCUCACUGUAGUCUGUUAGGCAGAUGCGCUCUCUCGCUAAACUAUCAGUGAAAUUCAGUGGAUACACGCACAUCUUUCUGAGAGAGACAAGUGGUAAUCCAAUCACUCAUCACAUCUGCAUUUUCAUCUCUAGGUGUGGUGAACGUUUGAGAGCACUUAUCCUGAUGCUGAUAAAUGGGAAUAGACGAGCACAAUUUUGAAUAUAGAGUUCAGUUUUUAAUGAAAUAGUCUAGACUGUAAAGCAGUAUUUAACAUAGAAAUAACCUGUUAAAUUAAAAGUAGCUCAUAGGGCAAAUCUUGCACAAGAAUAUAUACCAAUAACUUUAGAUUGUGUCCACUUCUGAGUAUCAAAUCAUUAAUUCUCUCAAGUCUUACUGCCAGAGGCCUUUUUUCUUUUCUGAACCUGGAGUGUUCUAUAAUGAUUCUAGAUGGAGAGGUCAUUGUUUCUUUGCUUAGUUUCAAAGAAAAAUACUGAAGCUUAAGUGUACCUGGUACAACCCUUCAAAUUGACUAAAUGGGAUCAAGAAUGUGUCAAACUCUGUGAAUGGUAAUCGCUAUGUAUUUUUGGAAUGUAACAUCAGUUACAACUCCUCAUAUUCUAAUACUGAAGCAGUCGGACAGAAACCUCCCAGGAUACUUGCACUGUCAGGUUAUGGUAUGUAACACUUAGCACAAACAUUAAAAAGAUGCUGGAUGAGUCAUUAUUGGGUACUUUAUUGGUACUAGUGGAUA
Long non-coding RNA from Gavialis gangeticus (Gharial), 1623 nucleotides. RefSeq lists it as uncharacterized. The record is from RefSeq and is a predicted model, not a curated record. The transcript has 2 exons. Lineage: Eukaryota; Metazoa; Chordata; Crocodylia; Gavialidae.